GCGGGCGUGGCGGAAUUGGUAGACGCGCUGGAUUUAGGUUCCAGUGCCGCAAGGCGUGGGGGUUCGAGUCCCUCCGCCCGCACCA
Molecule: transfer RNA, 85 nt
Filed under: Hyphomicrobium sulfonivorans
Lineage: Bacteria; Pseudomonadati; Pseudomonadota; Alphaproteobacteria; Hyphomicrobiales; Hyphomicrobiaceae
Also listed under: 13 other names
Description: tRNA-Leu
Rfam family: tRNA
About the family: Transfer RNA (tRNA) molecules are approximately 80 nucleotides in length.
Source: RNAcentral